UUUAGAUGCUGAUAUCCUCUUGCCAGUCAUUAUCACCACAUUCAUCAUUCUUGGCGUCCUGCUGAUACUUGGAAUUGUGCACUUGAGGGAGAAGAUUGCUGAAAGUACAGCAGACACAAGGGCCCCAAAUGAUACCACACAGAGUGACUCAGGUCUCCUGUACAGCACCAUCACAGCAAGAGCCACGACCUCUGACCCCACACAGAGAGUGACCUCAUAUGAUCAAGACGACAUUCAGUAUGCCAGUGUUCAGAUCAAUCCCUCCAAAAGACAGGAGGUGCCUCUAAACUCCACUGUUAACACACUUCUGACAUCCACACUGGACAACAUUGUCUACACUUCAGUUCAGCUCCUCAGAGGGAGUGCUGC
This is a long non-coding RNA of Sardina pilchardus (European sardine), 369 nucleotides long. RefSeq lists it as uncharacterized. The transcript is spliced from 3 exons. NCBI's taxonomy places the organism in Eukaryota, Metazoa, Chordata, Actinopteri, Clupeiformes, Clupeidae. The record is from RefSeq and is a predicted model, not a curated record.